UACGGAGGGCGCAAGCGUUGUUCGGAAUUACUGGGCGUAAAGCGCGUGUAGGUGGCCUGGCAAGUCGGGGGUGAAAUCCCGGAGCUCAACUCCGGAACUGCAUCCGAUACUGCCAAGCUCGAGUCUCGGAGAGGAUGGCGGAAUUUCCGGUGUAGAGGUGAAAUUCGUAGAUAUCGGAAGGAACACCAGUGGCGAAGGCGGCCGUCUGGACGAUGACUGACACUGAGACUCGAAAGCGUGGGGAGCAAACAGG
This 253-nucleotide ribosomal RNA is filed under the name uncultured bacterium. RNAcentral's name for it is "partial 16S ribosomal RNA". It matches the Rfam family "Bacterial small subunit ribosomal RNA", at positions 524 to 776 of the family's 1533-position model. The record is from RNAcentral.